GGUUCCAUGGUGUAAGAGUGAGCACUCUGGACUCUGAAUCCAGCGAUCCGAGUUCAAAUCUCGGUGGGACCU
This 72-nucleotide transfer RNA is filed under the name Ceratotherium simum simum (southern white rhinoceros). RNAcentral describes it as "tRNA-Gln (CTG) (tRNA-Gln-CTG-6-1)". It matches the Rfam family "tRNA". Rfam says of the family: Transfer RNA (tRNA) molecules are approximately 80 nucleotides in length. Their secondary structure includes four short double-helical elements and three loops (D, anti-codon, and T loops). Lineage: Eukaryota; Metazoa; Chordata; Mammalia; Perissodactyla; Rhinocerotidae. The record is from RNAcentral.